Molecule: regulatory RNA element, 160 nt
Organism: Amphibacillus xylanus NBRC 15112
Lineage: Bacteria; Bacillati; Bacillota; Bacilli; Caryophanales; Bacillaceae
Rfam family: Ribosomal protein L10 leader
About the family: This family is a putative r-protein leader autoregulatory structure found in B. subtilis and other low-GC Gram-positive bacteria.
Source: Rfam
UUAAAAUAAAUAGUUAUACCGUAGACAGCAGGGGCUCAUUAAAGCUUAAUAGCCUGCCGAGGUGUUAAUGAAGGCAAAAUGUAUUAUUUAUUAAUUUGCCCGGUCGUUUACACAUUCUCCCUUGCGUCUAUUUUAGACGUAAGGGUUUUUAAUUAGCGGA